CAAACAGAUCUCUAGGAAGAGGCAUUUCUAUGGAAACAGAAGGAAAACAAAGGUCCUGGGUUCCCUUGACCGUGGCUUCCAGAAGAGCAGAGCUUUGGAGUCCUGAUGACAGUGCCAAAACUGUGGGGCCAAGAGAUAACUCUCCCUUCACCCUCAAGUUUCACUGAAACAUCAACCGACAAAAACCAGAUUAAUAGGAGAAAUGGCAUACAAAUGUGUUAAGGUGCGUGGAGGGAAUAUCCCAGAGUGGUUACCCCAACCCCUCAAUGGUGUACAGAGCUUAUACACCAUCCUGAGUUUCCAAAAAGAAUGAAGCUCACAGCAUAUGCAAAACCAGGGAUGGUGGUGAGUCAGGCUCUAGUGCCAAGAUGAGUUACAGGAGCUAGAGAAGACAAGGUCUGGCCUGCAACGCUGGUCUUGUGGUAUAGAUGAAACCUCACAUUAGCAGCCCUCAGAGAGAAGGGAAGGCAAAUGUUCCUCUCUGACCUUCACGGUGUCAGACUCUCACGUAAUCUUUUCUAGGAUCCUUCCCAAGGACGGGCCUCAGAGAAAGCCUGGCUUCGUCAAAGCGGCUUCUCUAUAGAGGCGAAUCUCCCCACAAAAGGCAGCAUGGCAGGGCUACCUCUGUCUGCAGGCCCUCUGACAGGCACCUCCAAAUAUGUCCAAGGAGUACAUUUUCAGAUAAAAUAUUUUGAUUUUCUUCAUCAUCCAGUAUGACUGAUGUCCUUAUAAAAAGAGGAAAUUAGGACCCAGGCAGGCAGAUAGGAAAACCCUCAUGACAACGCAAGGGGAAAAGCGGCCACGUGCAAGCUAAGGAAGCGGCCUCAGGAGAAACCCACCUGACCACACCUCGAUCUGGACUUCAGCUCCAGAAUGUGCGGCAACAGACUUCUGCUAUCUGAGUCCCCGGUCGGUGGUGCUUCGUUACAGUAGCCUGAGGUGACUCCUGAAGACGGGGUGUGUAACUGCCUUUGCAAAAUUAUGACAGUAAGAUAAAUCUGACAUAGCUGACUGCAUCUCGCUUCUGGCCUCCAAGUGAGACCAAGUAGAGGUGGAGUUUCAUCCCCACCAGAGCGUUCCCGCUGGUCACAAAACCCACAGCACUACCUCACUGACACCGCGUUUAACCGUGCCUUUUACUAAAGAAUUCCAGAAACUGGCCUUAGGAGAUAACCAAGGUUGUGGAGUGUCCCGCCUCAGGAAGGAAUGCUGAACAAUUGAUUCGUAGCCUUGUGGCUGUUGGCCAGACCACCAGGUGACCUAUUAUUAAUCAAGAGAACCAUUACAACCAAAUAAUGCUGACCUGCAUACCCUACCCUUCAGGUGCUUCGCCCAGCCCAGCCUGCGCACAUGUCAGUUCCCAUGCUUUGCCUAACAAAAAAGGCCCACCAG
Molecule: long non-coding RNA, 1392 nt
Filed under: Papio anubis (olive baboon)
Lineage: Eukaryota; Metazoa; Chordata; Mammalia; Primates; Cercopithecidae
Description: lncRNA (ENSPANG00000047542.1)
Source: RNAcentral